CAGACAUUGCAUUAGAAACUAGACCACUCAUAACUUACCCCAGAACUCCUGUACCUGCUGAAGACAGAGUUGGCACCCAUAGUGGGCAGCCAGGUGAUGGAGUGGGAUUCCAGUCUCACCCCUUCGUUCCCAGUACCAUCUGAUCCAUCACUUAUGUAAUUACAGAUGGAGCCAAACUUCUCUCCCUUUAGUUUCUUGUCCCUCACUACAUAUGUAUAGCAAUGAUCUGAAAGCCGACCAAAUGCUGUCUUUCAAAACACCUUCUGAAUUGACACCGCAUUGGACAAUGCUAAAGAGAAGAGUUCAGUUGUUUUAAAGAGAGACAGAGACAGAAAGAGGUGACAAAGUGGGAGAUUCCAGUCAGCUUGGAUAUAGAUGCUUGGUAUCUAUAUCCCCAAGACUGAGAAGCCAUCCAGGAGAACCAUUGGCCUGAGGGAAGGAGGAAGCAGGCAAGCCCGUCAGUAACAAAGCUUGGCUAUUAGUUGGGAAGACAAGAUGACAUUUCUGAGUAUGACCUGGUAUAUUUAGGGAGCUCUACUGGGUAUUUAAGAGACAGCAUUUAUUCCUCUAGACUCAGGGAUAAUUUGCGAGAGAGCUCGCAGGUGGACUUUUCACUUAUGCACGCCUCAUUUGUCUUCCUCUUAUAAGACUGGAAGAUAAUGCUGACUAAUAGCUUCCAGAGGCAAAAUGGUGCCCUCCCCAGAGACUGGAGUGAAGAGAAUUCAAGUGUGUGACCAGAUUUGUUUUCCUGGCGUAUUUACCUCCUGCCCUCAUACACACUCACACCAUUCACAUCAGAGAUGAAAUGGGGAGCUUUAUUUGAAUAAAAGUCCGUCAGGACUUGGUGGCUUACUGUGAGAACAGCUGAAUCUCCUCUCAAGAUAUACUCCUGGUGCACAUGAGAACAGAUGACAUAUUAAACCGUUUCACUUCUGUGGGGUUUAAGUCAUUAAUGUGUUAGAUUGUCAAGUACAAGAAUCAGAAUGUUAGACUUUCAUAGACAGUCUCCCUAAGGACCUUGUUAGAAGCCAUGUGUUUUCACAGUGUAUGUGGAUGCUUUAUAAGGACAGCUAUUAAAAGAUGACCAAUACAAAAGGUCAUCUUGGACACUGGGAAAGAGCUCUAGAAUCCAAAUAAAAAGCAUGUAUUGAGUUCCAGCUUGCAUCAUACCUGCUAUAUGAGCUUGGGCCAGCCAAUUGACUGCUCUGAGCCUCAGUGGCUCAAUUUGUUAAGUGGAGCAAAUCAAAAAGUCUAGGGGAUUAAAUGAGAUAUUUAUAUCUCAAAGUAUAAUACUCUUUCUUGACAUAAAAUGAUAAGGGGUGUGCCAUGGACUGAAUUAUGUCCCCCCAAAAUUCACAUUGAAGCCCUAACCAGCAAGGUGACUGUAUUUGGAGAUAGGGCUUUUAGGAGGUAAUUAGGUUAAAUAAGGUCAUACGGUUGGGGUCCUAAAUCUGAUAGGAUUGGUGGUCUUAGAAGAAGAGGAAGAGAGAGAGACAAGAGGGUCUCUCUCUCUCUCUCUUUCUCCACGUGCACACACCCAGGAAAGGCC
RNAcentral lists this long non-coding RNA (1549 nucleotides) under Equus caballus (horse). RNAcentral describes it as "lncRNA (ENSECAG00000058989.1)". Lineage: Eukaryota; Metazoa; Chordata; Mammalia; Perissodactyla; Equidae. The record is from RNAcentral.